This 252-nucleotide ribosomal RNA is filed under the name uncultured bacterium. RNAcentral describes it as "partial small subunit ribosomal RNA". It matches the Rfam family "Bacterial small subunit ribosomal RNA", at positions 26 to 285 of the family's 1533-position model. The record is from RNAcentral.
AGGAUGAACGCUAGCGGCAGGCCUAAUACAUGCAAGUCGAACGGUCUUCAGCAAUGGAGAUAGUGGCGCACGGGUGCGUAACACGUAACUAACCUACCCAUCAUUGGGGGAUAGCCCGCCGAAAGGCGGAUUAAUACCGCAUAAGACUACAGAGCGGCAUCGUUUAGUAGUUAAAGAUUUAUUGAUGAUGGAUGGGGUUGCGGGUCAUUAGCUAGUUGGUUGGGUAACGGCUGACCAAGGCGACGAUGACUA